This is a non-coding RNA of Myodes glareolus (Bank vole), 758 nucleotides long. NCBI's taxonomy places the organism in Eukaryota, Metazoa, Chordata, Mammalia, Rodentia, Cricetidae. The record is from RefSeq and is a predicted model, not a curated record.
CUAGUUCUGGCCUUUUCAGGUUGAGGGCCAGGCAGUAGUUGGCAUGGCUAUCUUUUGCCUCUUCUGCAAGUGAAUGCGUCCUCAUCUUUAGAGUACCCACUGUAUAAAGCAGUGGUGGAGAAGGAACCAAUGUGAGGACGGAGGACCCAGGACACGGUCAUUUCCAGAAAGUCACUGUGUGAAGGGGGCCACCGCACCCCAGGCAGGAAGCUACACUCUCCGUGAAGCUGCUACCAUUUCCCAGAGCUGGACUUCAUAAGGUGGAGCCGCUGGAAGGGUCGAGCUCACAGGGUCAUAGGAUUUACAAGAGUGACAGUCUGAUCAGCAACCUUCAAAAUUCACCCACUAACCAAGCCAGGCACGGUGGUGCACACAUGAAAUCCCAGCCCCUGAGAGGCUGAAGCCAGAGGACUGAUCAUAUGGAUUCCUGGCAGUCAGUGGGAGAACCAUAUUGGAAAAAGGUGGGAUUUGAUAAAUCUGGAAGAAAAUGACCCAUGGUGUCCUUUCCACUUCAAGGAGGAAGCCCCCUGAGUCCCAGGUACUGUGAGUGCCACUGAGCAACUUUUUCAAACUUAGUGCAGUCAAACACAUAAACUCGUGGGUCAUGAAAUCAAAAAAGCAAGCCAGCAACCUAUAUGACUGCUGAGCCUCUGUGUGCUGACAAUGGGGAAUGACAAACACAGCUGCUGAGAAAAUCGAGGUUUACAAGGAGAAGGCAUUUCACUUAAGAUCGCCUUCCUGUUAAGGAUAGCCCAGGU